UUCUGCUGAGAUUUGAUGUAACACGAACUAGACAAACAAUUGGAAUCAUAUCACAUCGUCAAAGUGUCGUGGCCCAAUGUGCACUGUAGAAGAACCCUAUCAGGCCUGUGACCCAUUUUUGGGUCUUGACCCACCAGUUCGGAAGUACAGCUCUAAACGAUCUUCUCCAUUUGAGGGCUUCUCAGGCAUCUGGUUCUCAUGCAGAGUGAGUGGAGUGAAAAAUGAGAGGAAAGAAAGAGAGAAAUGGAUUGUGACGGAGGUAGCGAGGGUAAUAGGAUUGAGCCUGGACUCUGCGGGGUUGAGCUGCCCUCCUAACCGGACUCACUUCCUCUUCUCUCCUCUUCCCCACUGCGAGGUCAACCAGUCGUCCAUCAGAUCGCUGGCUAAUCCUUUCACAAUGAUUGAGUUGGACAAGUUUCUGAGACCAAAAGCGUAAAGAAGACGAUGAAUGAAAGAGAGAUCACACCCAAUAGAUGAGGUCGAUGGGAAGACUGAAGACGUUCUCCACAAACUCCUGGAAGGUGCUGAACAAACAGUGCAUCUCUUCUUCUGGGAUGCGGAAACCCAGGAGCACGCGUACUGCCAUGUUGAAUGAUAGCCGCUGGGACUCGCGAUACACAUUGAUGGGGUCAGGAUUGGAGCUCCACACACGUAGGGUCUCCUGAAUGACCUGCUGGAUCUUGGGCAGGUAGCUUUC
RNAcentral lists this long non-coding RNA (697 nucleotides) under Danio rerio (zebrafish). RNAcentral describes it as "si:ch73-156h21.1 (ENSDARG00000105572.2)". The record is from RNAcentral. Lineage: Eukaryota; Metazoa; Chordata; Actinopteri; Cypriniformes; Danionidae.